Molecule: ribosomal RNA, 427 nt
Filed under: uncultured bacterium
Lineage: Bacteria
Description: bacterial SSU rRNA
Rfam family: Bacterial small subunit ribosomal RNA
Source: RNAcentral
UAGGGAAUAUUGGACAAUGGGGGCAACCCUGAUCCAGCCAUGCCGCGUGAGUGAAGAAGGCCCUCGGGUUGUAAAGCUCUUUUGUCCGGAAAGAAAAGCAUUCGGUGAAUACUCGGAUGUUCUGACGGUACCGGAAGAAUAAGCACCGGCUAACUUCGUGCCAGCAGCCGCGGUAAUACGAAGGGUGCAAGCGUUACUCGGAAUUACUGGGCGUAAAGCGUGCGUAUGUGGUUGUUUAAGUCUGAUGUGAAAGCCCUGGGCUCAACCUGGGAAUGGCAUUGGAAACUGGGCAGCUAGAGUGCGGUAGAGGGUAGUGGAAUUUCCGGUGUAGCAGUGAAAUGCGUAGAGAUCGGGAGGAACAUCUGUGGCGAAGGCGACUGCCUGGACCAGCACUGACACUGAGGCACGAAAGCGUGGGGAGCAAACA